This is a non-coding RNA of Pangasianodon gigas (Mekong giant catfish), 72 nucleotides long. Lineage: Eukaryota; Metazoa; Chordata; Actinopteri; Siluriformes; Pangasiidae. The record is from the annotation of a GenBank genome assembly.
UCCCUGGAGGACUAGUGGUUAGGCCAUGGCGCUCUCACCAAUGUGGCCUGGGUUCAUUUCCCAGCCAGGGAA